This 497-nucleotide ribosomal RNA is filed under the name uncultured bacterium. Its description in RNAcentral is "partial 16S ribosomal RNA". It matches the Rfam family "Bacterial small subunit ribosomal RNA", at positions 28 to 507 of the family's 1533-position model. The record is from RNAcentral.
GAUGAACGCUGGCGGCGUGCCUAAUACAUGCAAGUCGAGCGAACAGACGAGGAGCUUGCUCCUCUGACGUUAGCGGCGGACGGGUGAGUAACACGUGGAUAACCUACCUAUAAGACUGGGAUAACUUCGGGAAACCGGAGCUAAUACCGGAUAAUAUAUUGAACCGCAUGGUUCAAUAGUGAAAGACGGUUUUGCUGUCACUUACACAUGGAUCCGCGCCGCAUUAGCUAGUUGGUAAGGUAACGGCUUACCAAGGCAACGAUGCGUAGCCGACCUGAGAGGGUGAUCGGCCACACUGGAACUGAGACACGGUCCAGACUCCUACGGGAGGCAGCAGUAGGGAAUCUUCCGCAAUGGGCGAAAGCCUGACGGAGCAACGCCGCGUGAGUGAUGAAGGUCUUCGGAUCGUAAAACUCUGUUAUUAGGGAAGAACAAAUGUGUAAGUAACUAUGCACGUCUUGACGGUACCUAAUCAGAAAGCCACGGCUAACUACGUG